UGAGCCAAGUUUAGGGUUUUCUCAAAACCCAAGCAGUAUUGAACUGAAGAGUUUGAUCAUGGCUCAGAUUGAACGCUGGCGGCAGGCCUAACACAUGCAAGUCGAGCGGAUGAAGGGAGCUUGCUCCUGGAUUCAGCGGCGGACGGGUGAGUAAUGCCUAGGAAUCUGCCUGGUAG
This 176-nucleotide ribosomal RNA is filed under the name Pseudomonas aeruginosa. RNAcentral's name for it is "partial 16S ribosomal RNA". The stretch from base 41 to 176 matches the Rfam family "Bacterial small subunit ribosomal RNA", at positions 1 to 136 of the family's 1533-position model. The record is from RNAcentral. Lineage: Bacteria; Pseudomonadati; Pseudomonadota; Gammaproteobacteria; Pseudomonadales; Pseudomonadaceae.